AUAGAAAGUCAUUAUUGUACCUGUUAGACCUAUAUCAGGUAUAGAAGUAACAUUAUGACAAAAAUCUAAUAUUUUAAAACUUUUUCUAUACCAGAUCAACAUUAUAACUGAUUUAAAUGUUUUUGUACUCUACCCUAGGUCCCUUUUCUCGAUUCAUUUCUCUUAUCUGUGCCUUUCUCUCUACUAUCCCUUUCUUUCUUCUACAACAAGAUGCAACGAUGCUCAUGAUUUGGGAUGCAUCACAAGGUCUUCAUGUUUGUAUUUCUGAUGAUUUCAGUCUGGAUGGAAUACUAUUAUCCAUACAAGUCUCUAUUUUGUAAUGUAGAGAGAGAAAUAUAGAGAGAGUGAGUGAUGGAGGAGAAGCCGGAGAACGUGAAGGGUGAGGCGCUGCAAAUAAUUGAAGCAUUUGAGAUUCUUCCAAAGCUCGUGGUUUUCGAUCUCGAAUACUCUUUCUGGCCUUUCUGCUAGUUAAUUCCUAUUUCCUACCCUCUUUUCCUUAACCUAAUUUCAUUUAUACUCUUUAAUAUAUGAAAUCAGUCUUGUUGAAAAUUCAGUGAGUGUCAAUCGAAGCGUGAAAUGUGCUCUUUGUAUCCUCACGCCAAAGGCAUAUUGUUAGGGCUCAAAGAGAAAGGCAUCGCUGUUGCAAUCGCUUCUCGCACAGAAUACCGGCAAUUGAUAUAUGGAUCAUCGGAUGCAUUUUUGUAGAGGUGUUGACAGGAAAGUGACUAUUUCAUAGAAAAAAGUGUUGUGCAUUGUUAAGAUCUCGAUAAGUAUACUGAAUCGUAUCAAGUAAUAUAAAAUGGUAAGACCAACUA
This is an RNA transcript of Vigna radiata var. radiata (mung bean), 815 nucleotides long. It is a transcript of the gene named magnesium-dependent phosphatase 1-like, with no coding region annotated. The record is from RefSeq and is a predicted model, not a curated record. Lineage: Eukaryota; Viridiplantae; Streptophyta; Magnoliopsida; Fabales; Fabaceae. The transcript is spliced from 2 exons.